UUCCGGUUGAUCCUGCCGGACCUGACUGCUAUCGGAUUGAUACUAAGCCAUGCGAGUCAUUGUAGCAAUACAAGGCAGACGGCUCAGUAACGCGUAGUCAACCUAACCUAUGGACGGGAAUAACCUCGGGAAACUGAGAAUAAUGCCCGAUAGAACACUAUACCUGGAAUGGUUUGUGUUCCAAAUGAUUUAUCGCCGUAGGAUGGGACUGCGGCCUAUCAGUUUGUUGGUGAGGUAAUGGCCCACCAAGACUAUUACAGGUACGGGCUCUGAGAGGAGUAGCCCGGAGAUGGGUACUGAGACACGGACCCAGGCCCUAUGGGGCGCAGCAGGCGAGAAAACUUUGCAAUGUGCGAAAGCACGACAAGGUUAAUCCGAGUGGUUUCUGCUAAAGGAACCUUUUGUCGGUCCUAGAAACACCGAUGAGUCAGGGGUGGU
Molecule: ribosomal RNA, 438 nt
Filed under: unidentified archaeon
Lineage: Archaea
Description: bacterial SSU rRNA
Rfam family: Archaeal small subunit ribosomal RNA
Source: RNAcentral